Molecule: non-coding RNA, 102 nt
Organism: Cercophora newfieldiana
Lineage: Eukaryota; Fungi; Ascomycota; Sordariomycetes; Sordariales; Lasiosphaeriaceae
Source: the annotation of a GenBank genome assembly
CCCUUCUUAGCUCAGUGGUAGAGCGCGUCACUCGUAUUGUCCUCUCUUCUAAGGAGAAACCGUACCAUGACGAGGUCGCUUGUUCGAUCCAGGCAGGAGGCA